GCCAGCAGCCAUAUCACUCUGCAGCUCACAACCAGCAGCCCACUGAAGCUCAGCAGGUGUGAGCCUGGUCAGUACCUGGAUGGGAGACCUCCUGGGAAAAACUAAGGUUGCUGCUGGAA
Ribosomal RNA from Lepisosteus oculatus (spotted gar), 119 nucleotides. The record is from Ensembl. Lineage: Eukaryota; Metazoa; Chordata; Actinopteri; Semionotiformes; Lepisosteidae.